This 60-nucleotide transfer RNA is filed under the name Loxodonta africana (African savanna elephant). It matches the Rfam family "tRNA", at positions 6 to 65 of the family's 71-position model. Rfam says of the family: Transfer RNA (tRNA) molecules are approximately 80 nucleotides in length. Their secondary structure includes four short double-helical elements and three loops (D, anti-codon, and T loops). Lineage: Eukaryota; Metazoa; Chordata; Mammalia; Proboscidea; Elephantidae. The record is from Rfam by way of RNAcentral.
GGUGGUUCAGUGGUGGAAAUCGUGCCUUCCAUGUAUGAGACCCGGGUUCGAUUCCCGGCC